Xiphophorus maculatus (southern platyfish) is the source of this 149-nucleotide long non-coding RNA. RefSeq lists it as uncharacterized. The record is from RefSeq and is a predicted model, not a curated record. NCBI's taxonomy places the organism in Eukaryota, Metazoa, Chordata, Actinopteri, Cyprinodontiformes, Poeciliidae. The transcript has 2 exons.
CGGUUUUCUCCGUGAGCUGCAGCAAGCAUGGCUGAAUGUGUUGUGUCUUCAGCAUUUAAUCCUGUGCCAUCCGCGAGAAAUUAAGGCGAAGCAAUGCUUUUUCACCCAGCUUAUGAUACGUGGAAGUCGACAGUAAAUGUUCAAUCUUG